GAUGAACGCUGGCGGCGUGCUUAACACAUGCAAGUCGAACGGAAAGGCCACAGCUUGCUGUGGUACUCGAGUGGCGAACGGGUGAGUAACACGUGGGUGAUCUGCCCUGUACUUCGGGAUAAGCUUGGGAAACUGGGUCUAAUACCGGAUGGGAAUCACAUGUGGGUGUGUGGUUGGAAAGCUUUUGCGGUAUGGGAUGAGCUCGCGGCCUAUCAGCUUGUUGGUGGGGUAAUGGCCUACCAAGGCGUCGACGGGUAGCCGGCCUGAGAGGGUGUACGGCCACAUUGGGACUGAGAUACGGCCCAGACUCCUACGGGAGGCAGCAGUAGGGAAUAUUGCACAAUGGGCGCAAGCCUGAUGCAGCGACGCCGCGUGGGGGAUGACGGCCUUCGGGUUGUAAACUCCUUUCGUCAGGGACGAAGCGAAAGUGACGGUACCUGGAGAAGAAGCACCGGCUAACUACGUG
RNAcentral lists this ribosomal RNA (466 nucleotides) under uncultured bacterium. RNAcentral describes it as "partial 16S ribosomal RNA". It matches the Rfam family "Bacterial small subunit ribosomal RNA", at positions 28 to 507 of the family's 1533-position model. The record is from RNAcentral.